GCCUGGGUGGCUCAGUCGGUUAAGCAUCUGACUUCAGCUCAGAUCUCAUAGCUCGUGAGUUCGAGCCCCGCAUUGGGCU
RNAcentral lists this transfer RNA (79 nucleotides) under Felis catus (domestic cat). It matches the Rfam family "tRNA". From Rfam's summary of the family: Transfer RNA (tRNA) molecules are approximately 80 nucleotides in length. Their secondary structure includes four short double-helical elements and three loops (D, anti-codon, and T loops). Lineage: Eukaryota; Metazoa; Chordata; Mammalia; Carnivora; Felidae. The record is from Rfam by way of RNAcentral.